AAGCCAACAUCAGCUAGGUGCAGUGGCUCAUAUCUAUAACCCUAGCACUUUAGGAAGCCAAGGCAGGAGGAUCGCUUGAGCUCAGGAGUUUGAGACAAGCCUGGGCAACAUAGUGAGGCCUUGUCUCUACCAAAAAAAAAAAAAAAGUUUUAAUUAGCCAGAUAUGGUGGCACGUGCCUGCAGUCCCAGCUACUCAGGAGGCUGAGGCAGGAGGAUCGGAGAAUUGCUUGAACCCAGGAGGUGGAGGUUGCGGUGAGCCAAGAUCGUAUUAUUGCACUCCAGCCUGGGCAACAAGAGGGAAACUCCAUCUCAAAAACAAAACAAAACAAAACAGAAAAUAUUAAACUGAGACCGAAGCUCCUGCCCACUGAAGGUAAAACCAAGUUUGUAAUUUGAAUUUAACCAAGUGAAUUGUCUGCUAAAGGAAAAAGAUUAGCCUUUCUCUGAGGAAUUAAAUAGAACCUAGAGUCUCCUCAACAUAACCUUCAAAAUACUCAGGAUAUGAUCCAAAAUUACUAAGCAUACAAAGAACCAGGAAAACAUGACCCAUUCUCAAGGUUAAAGCAAACAACAGAGGCUAAUCUCAAGGUAACUUGGAUGUUGGAAUAAUCAGACAAGGAUUUUAAGGCAACUACUAUCAUUAUGCUGAAGAAUAUAAAGAAAAACACACACAUAAUGAACAGAUAGGAAGCCACAGCCAAAAAUUACAAAAUAUUAAAAAGAACAAAAUGGGAAUUUUAGAACAAAAAUACGUAGAAUAAAAAAUUCACUGGCUGUGUUCAGUGCAGUGCACCUGUAAUCCUAGUUACUCAGGAAGCUGAGGUGGGGGGAUCACAUGAGCCUACAAGUUUGAGACCAGCCUGGGCAACAUAGCAAGACCCCAUCUCCAAAGAAAAACAAAAAAUUAACUGGAUGUGCUUAAUGACCGUUCCAUCAUCUCAGUGGAAAGAGCAAAUGAACUUGAAGAGAGAUCAAUGGAACAUUGGAAAGAAAAAGAGAUAACCAAGCCUCAGAGACCUGUGGAACAAUAUGAAAAUGUCUAAUGUAUGGAUAAUUGGAAUUUCAGAAGGAGAAAAAAAAAGAAAUGAGACAAAAAAAUAUACUUAGAAGCUUUUGGGGAGGUCCACAGAUGGGUUCAUAGAAUUCACAGUGUAAGGGUAAGGAUUUGGCUAAGGCAGAAAAUAUGACAGCACUUG
This 1196-nucleotide long non-coding RNA is filed under the name Papio anubis (olive baboon). RNAcentral describes it as "lncRNA (ENSPANG00000037142.1)". The record is from RNAcentral. Lineage: Eukaryota; Metazoa; Chordata; Mammalia; Primates; Cercopithecidae.